UUUGUGUUACGUGGAGAAAUUGUUACCAUUUUCGGCUCAAAAAUGGUAACAAUUUCCGCACGUAAUACAAA
RNAcentral lists this microRNA precursor (71 nucleotides) under Paramuricea clavata. The record is from RNAcentral. Lineage: Eukaryota; Metazoa; Cnidaria; Anthozoa; Malacalcyonacea; Plexauridae.